CGGCGGACGGGUGGGUAACACGUGGAUAACCUACCUAUAAGACUGGGAUAACUUCGGGAAACCGGAGCUAAUACCGGAUAAUAUUUUGAACCGCAUGGUUCAAAAGUGAAAGACGGUCUUGCUGUCACUUAUAGAUGGAUCCGCGCUGCAUUAGCUGGUUGGUAAGGUAACGGCUUACCAAGGCAACGAUGCAUGGCCGACCUGAGAGGGUGAUCGGCCACACUGGAACUGAGACACGGUCCAG
RNAcentral lists this ribosomal RNA (244 nucleotides) under uncultured Staphylococcus sp. RNAcentral's name for it is "partial 16S ribosomal RNA". It matches the Rfam family "Bacterial small subunit ribosomal RNA", at positions 96 to 334 of the family's 1533-position model. Lineage: Bacteria; Bacillati; Bacillota; Bacilli; Caryophanales; Staphylococcaceae. The record is from RNAcentral.